GAUGAACGCUAGCGGCAGGCCUAACACAUGCAAGUCGAGGGGUAUAAAAGAGCUUGCUUUUUUAGAGACCGGCAAACGGGUGCGGAACACGUACGCAAUCUGCCCUUAUCACGGGGAUAGCCCAGAGAAAUUUGGAUUAAUACCCGAUAGUAUUAUAAUAAGGCAUCUUGUUGUAAUUAAAGCUAUGGCGGAUAAGGAUGAGCGUGCGCAAGAUUAGCUAGUUGGUGAGGUAACGGCUCACCAAGGCGACGAUCUUUAGCUGAUGUGAGAGCAUGAUCAGCCACACGGGCACUGAGACACGGGCCCGAUCCUACGGGAGGCAGCAGUGAGGAAUAUUGGUCAAUGGACGGAAGUCUGAACCAGCCAUGCCGCGUG
This 375-nucleotide ribosomal RNA is filed under the name uncultured bacterium. RNAcentral's name for it is "bacterial SSU rRNA". It matches the Rfam family "Bacterial small subunit ribosomal RNA", at positions 28 to 403 of the family's 1533-position model. The record is from RNAcentral.